CUUCUUUAUUUUUAAUAACUCAUGACAUCCUACAAGAAGGAAAACGGUACAAUAAAGAGAAAUAAAAUUUCAGCAUGAACUAGAAGUUAAUGCUAGCUUGUCACUCAAAAUGUGUCUCCAACCCAGUGGAUCUCAAAUUUCUGUAUUCACCAGAAUUACUAGAAAGGCUUGUUAAAACACAGACUCCUGGGCCCCUCUUUCAGAUACUUCUGAUUUAGUAGGUCUGUGGUGGAGUCCAGAAAUUUACAUUUCUAAGUUCCCAGGUGGCUCUGAUGCUACUGGUCUGGGGGCCAUAUUUUGAGAACCACUGCUCUUACCAACUGUUUAUUAAUUACACUCUAACGUAAAUAUAAACUGUAAAUUCAGUAAACUUAUUGGGCACCAUGUAGAAGCCAAAAGAUUGUGACUCAGGAUGAGGCAAGAUGGCAGAAAGCCUUCUUUUCUUUUAAAUAUAUAGAGAUUUGUUCAGGAAAUUUUAAAAACUGAAAGUAUUUCUCAAGUCAUAGGCUCACUCAUCGCAGAGAUCUUAUUCAAAAUAAACAGAAAAUGCAACACUUUAUUAAAGUAAAAGUCUCUUUACUAUUAAUAUACAAAUGGUGAAGAGUGACAAUUUUGAUAUACUGUAAGCCAUACUUUCAAUGUCUCUCAUAAAUACAAAACUUCAACAUUUGCAGAAUAAUUUUUACAGUUUAGACAUAUAUAUACAGCAUUUCAUAGGGACAUACUAUAUUGAAACAAUAAGAAAACUGAGAUAGCUAGCUUAAAAAUAUAGAAAUUGCAUGGAAUAUAUAAGUUCAAGAAAAUAAAAGAUAGUAUGUUUUAAUGCAUACUGAACACAGCAUAGAAUUCACAUACCAACAAAAAAGGUUUUUUAACUUUUAUUUCUAAGUUCACAUAUUCCUAGUAGAGUUUAGAGGCAAGUGCUAAACCAUGAACAUUCCUUUAAGAAUUGGAACAAAUAUAUUUGCUCUUAACAGAAUCAUUUAUUGUAUAUAACGCACGUUGUUCUCUAAGAAAUCCUAGUUGCAAAAUUGAAUCCUAGGUUCUAUUUGUUAACUUUCUUCUCUGGAUUUCACUAAGCUCUCUCCUUUGCAUCAGUGUAAUUGGCCUUAAUUUUCAUCUUAGGGAUGGACCCAAUCCGUGGUCCAGCACAUCGCACACUGAGGUCCUUCUUACCUAAACAAAAUGUAGCUCACCUUGCCUUUCUCGAUUCUUUCAGUUCCCUGUUCCUCUAUUCCCCUAUGCCUGCUUGUGAUGUGAAAUUUUCCACCCGUCAUUGUUUCGCUUAUUCUUUUCCAAGGAAGGCUAAAAUUAGAUGCUAAAAGAUAUAUGCUUUCAUUUCAGGAAAAAAGAAAUAAAAAGAAGUGGCAAUAUUUCACUUAUAUGGGCAAUUUUUAUAUUAAUAAUUAUACAUCAUAUGGCCAAAAUCCUG
This 1432-nucleotide long non-coding RNA is filed under the name Equus caballus (horse). RNAcentral's name for it is "lncRNA (ENSECAG00000058287.1)". The record is from RNAcentral. Lineage: Eukaryota; Metazoa; Chordata; Mammalia; Perissodactyla; Equidae.